GUCUCGGUAGUCUAAAGGCUUAGGACUCUCGCACGGAAUGCAAGAGAUCCGGGUUCGACUCCCGGUCGAGGCA
Molecule: transfer RNA, 73 nt
Filed under: Mycetomoellerius zeteki
Lineage: Eukaryota; Metazoa; Arthropoda; Insecta; Hymenoptera; Formicidae
Description: Trachymyrmex zeteki tRNA
Rfam family: tRNA
About the family: Transfer RNA (tRNA) molecules are approximately 80 nucleotides in length.
Source: Rfam by way of RNAcentral